This 448-nucleotide ribosomal RNA is filed under the name uncultured bacterium. RNAcentral's name for it is "bacterial SSU rRNA". It matches the Rfam family "Bacterial small subunit ribosomal RNA", at positions 330 to 792 of the family's 1533-position model. The record is from RNAcentral.
GCCAGACUCCUACGGGAGGCAGCAGUGGGGGAUAUUGCACAAUGGGGGGAACCCUGAUGCAGCGACGCCGCGUGAGUGAAGACGGCCUUCGGGUUGUAAAGCUCUGUCAAUCGGGACGAAGAAGAUGACGGUACCGAUGAAGGAAGCUCCGGCUAACUACGUGCCAGCAGCCGCGGUAAUACGUAGGGAGCGAGCGUUGUCCGGAAUUACUGGGUGUAAAGGGAGCGUAGGCGGGAAUGCAAGUUGGAAGUGAAGGGUAUGGGCUCAACCCAUGAACUGCUUUCAAAACUGUAUUUCUUGAGUGAAGUAGAGGCAGGCGGAAUUCCUAGUGUAGCGGUGAAAUGCGUAGAUAUUAGGAGGAACACCAGUGGCGAAGGCGGCCUGCUGGGCUUUAACUGACGCUGAGGCUCGAAAGCGUGGGUAGCAAACAGGAUUAGAUACCCGGGUA